This 142-nucleotide ribosomal RNA is filed under the name uncultured bacterium. RNAcentral describes it as "partial 16S ribosomal RNA". It matches the Rfam family "Bacterial small subunit ribosomal RNA", at positions 250 to 387 of the family's 1533-position model. The record is from RNAcentral.
UGGUAAGGUAANNGGCUUACCAAGGCGAUGAUGCNAUAGCCGAGUUGAGAGACUNGAUCGGCCACAUUGGGACUGAGACACGGCCCAWACUCCUACGGGAGNGCAGCAGUAGGGAAUCUUCCACAAUGGACGCAAGUCUGAU